UGCCAGCCGCCGCGGUAAUACGUAGGUGGCGAGCGUUAUUCGGAUUUAUUGGGCGUAAAGGGUCCGUAGGGGGUCUGCCAAGUCUGGUGUGAAAGCCUGAGGCUCAACUGCGGAACUGCACUGGAAACUGGCAAACUAGAGCAUCGGAGAGGAGAGUGGAAUUCCUGGUGUAGCGGUGGAAUGCGUAGAUAUCAGGAGGAACACCGAAGGCGAAGGCAGCUCUCUGGACGAUUGCUGACCCUGAGGAACGAAAGCUAGGGGAGCGAACAGGAUUAGAUA
This 279-nucleotide ribosomal RNA is filed under the name uncultured bacterium. Its description in RNAcentral is "partial 16S ribosomal RNA". It matches the Rfam family "Bacterial small subunit ribosomal RNA", at positions 506 to 784 of the family's 1533-position model. The record is from RNAcentral.